CAGUCGCCACGGGAAUACAGAGGGUGCAAGCGUUAAUCGGAAUUACUGGGCGUAAAGCGCUCGUAGGUGGUUUGUUAAGUUGGAUGUGAAAUCCCCGGGCUCAACCUGGGAACUGCAUCCAAAACUGGCAAGCUAGAGUAUGGUAGAGGGUGGUGGAAUUUCCUGUGUAGCGGUGAAAUGCGUAGAUAUAGGAAGGAACACCAGUGGCGAAGGCGACCACCUGGACUGAUACUGACACUGAGGUGCGAAAGCGUGGGGAGCAAACAGGAUUAGAUACCCCUGUAGUCCCUGUCUCUUAUAA
RNAcentral lists this ribosomal RNA (301 nucleotides) under uncultured bacterium. Its description in RNAcentral is "partial 16S ribosomal RNA". It matches the Rfam family "Bacterial small subunit ribosomal RNA", at positions 509 to 809 of the family's 1533-position model. The record is from RNAcentral.